CCGUGUUUAUUAUACCUUGUUGCUUCGGUGCGCCCGCCUCACGGCCGCCGGGGGGCUUCUGCCCCCGGGUCCGCGCGCACCGGAGACACUAUUGAACUCUGUCUGAAGAUUGCAGUCUGAGCAUAAACUAAAUAAGUUAAAACUUUCAACAACGGAUCUCUUGGUUCCGGCAUCGAUGAAGAACGCAGCGAAAUGCGAUAACUAAUGUGAAUUGCAGAAUUCAGUGAAUCAUCGAGUCUUUGAACGCACAUUGCGCCCCCUGGUAUUCCGGGGGGCAUGCCUGUCCGAGCGUCAUUGCUGCCCUCAAGCACGGCUUGUGUGUUGGGCUCCGUCCCCCCGGGGACGGGUCCGAAAGGCAGCGGCGGCACCGAGUCCGGUCCUCGAGCGUAUGGGGCUUUGUCACCCGCUCUGUAGGCCCGGCCGGCGCCAGCCGACAACCAAUCAUCCUUUUUUCAGGUUGACCUCGGAUCAGGUAGGGAUACCCGCUGAACUUAAGCAUAUC
RNAcentral lists this ribosomal RNA (502 nucleotides) under Penicillium glabrum. RNAcentral's name for it is "eukaryotic LSU rRNA". The stretch from base 141 to 294 matches the Rfam family "5.8S ribosomal RNA". Lineage: Eukaryota; Fungi; Ascomycota; Eurotiomycetes; Eurotiales; Aspergillaceae. The record is from RNAcentral.